This 395-nucleotide unclassified non-coding RNA is filed under the name soil metagenome. RNAcentral describes it as "partial contains 5.8S ribosomal RNA, internal transcribed spacer 2, and large subunit ribosomal RNA". The stretch from base 1 to 122 matches the Rfam family "5.8S ribosomal RNA", at positions 35 to 154 of the family's 154-position model. The record is from RNAcentral.
GAUGAAGAACGCAGCGAAAUGCGAUACUUGGUGUGAAUUGCAGAAUCCCGUGAACCAUUGAGUCUUUGAACGCAAGUUGCGCCCGAAGCCAUCAGGUUGAGGGCACGUCUGCCUGGGCGUCACAUAUCGUUGCCCAAUGCCUAUUGCAGUGCGAUAGGAAUUUCUAGGGCGAAUGAUGGCUUCCCGUGAGCGUUGUUGCCUCGCGGUUGGUUGAAAAUCGAGUCCUUGGUAGGGUGUGCCAUGGUAGAUGGUGGUCGAGUUAGAACGAUACCGAUCAUGUGCAUGCUCCCCAAAAUAUGGCCUCUAUGACCCACACGCGUCUUUUGACGCUCAUGACGAGACCUCAGGUCAGGCGGGGCUACCCGCUGAAUUUAAGCAUAUCAAUAAGCGGAGGA